GCGCCCAUAGCUCAAUGGAUAGAGUAGCAGCCUUCGAAGCUGUUGGUGUAGGUUCGAUUCCUACUGGGCGCA
RNAcentral lists this transfer RNA (72 nucleotides) under Elusimicrobiota bacterium. RNAcentral's name for it is "Elusimicrobia bacterium (groundwater metagenome) tRNA-Arg". It matches the Rfam family "tRNA". Rfam says of the family: Transfer RNA (tRNA) molecules are approximately 80 nucleotides in length. Their secondary structure includes four short double-helical elements and three loops (D, anti-codon, and T loops). Lineage: Bacteria; Pseudomonadati; Elusimicrobiota. The record is from RNAcentral.